GACGAACGCUGGCGGCGUGCUUAACACAUGCAAGUCGAACGGAAAGGCCCUGCUUUUGUGGGGUGCUCGAGUGGCGAACGGGUGAGUAACACGUGAGUAACCUGCCCUUGACUUUGGGAUAACUUCAGGAAACUGGGGCUAAUACCGGAUAGGAGCUCCUGCUGCAUGGUGGGGGUUGGAAAGUUUCGGCGGUUGGGGAUGGACUCGCGGCUUAUCAGCUUGUUGGUGGGGUAGUGGCUUACCAAGGCUUUGACGGGUAGCCGGCCUGAGAGGGUGACCGGCCACAUGGGGACUGGGAUACGGCCCAGACUCCUAUGGGAGGCAGCAGAGGGGAAUAUUGCACAAUGGGCGGAAGCCUGAUGCAGCAACGCCGCGUGCGGGAUGACGGCCUUCGGGUUGUAAACCGCUUUCGCCUGUGACGAAGCGUGAGUGACGGUAAUGGGCAAAGAAGCACCGGCUAACUACGUG
Molecule: ribosomal RNA, 468 nt
Filed under: uncultured bacterium
Lineage: Bacteria
Description: partial 16S ribosomal RNA
Rfam family: Bacterial small subunit ribosomal RNA
Source: RNAcentral